AUGGUGCUGAGAGGGGAAGAUUUUGUGGAUCAAUUCGGACCCUGGGGGGAGCUAGACAGGCUAGGCAUGACAGGGAUUUGGAGAGCGCUAAAUUGGCUAGAGAACAAGAUGUAUAGAGGAGCGAAGAAUCGAUGGAGAGCUAUUCCGGACCCAAACUUGAUGGUGGAGAUUAUGAUGAAGGACCACCACAACAUGAUAGACUUUGAGUGUGUGAGGAGAAUGCUUUGUGAAGAGUACACUGGGUACAACCUUCGAAAUGUGGAGCAGCUACUAAUGUUGAUGAACGACAUGGAGAGCUGGUCAGUAUAUGCUGUGAACUUGAAGAUGAAGAAGGUGGUCAUCAUGGAUCCAUCUGAUUGCAAUGCUGAUGACUCUACAACAAAAGAUAGGCACUGGCGUAAUUUAAAUAAACUUCUGAAGGGGUUGAUUCAUUGCAUCAAUGAAUGCUUCCCGGGGUGGGAAAUGACAAGGCAGGGCUGGCAAGCGGAGUACAAAUAUGAUCUACAUGAACGUUGCUCCAGGUAA
RNAcentral lists this ribosomal RNA (525 nucleotides) under Triticum aestivum (bread wheat). Its description in RNAcentral is "partial small subunit ribosomal RNA". Lineage: Eukaryota; Viridiplantae; Streptophyta; Magnoliopsida; Poales; Poaceae. The record is from RNAcentral.